This 90-nucleotide transfer RNA is filed under the name Dactylosporangium vinaceum subsp. matsuzakiense. Its description in RNAcentral is "Dactylosporangium matsuzakiense tRNA-Arg". The record is from RNAcentral. Lineage: Bacteria; Bacillati; Actinomycetota; Actinomycetes; Micromonosporales; Micromonosporaceae.
UGCUGACCGGCGCGCCGGGCGCGUGGGCGGCCACGGUCAGCCCGGACGGGGAGGUCACGGCCGUCGCCGGUCCGGCCCCGGCGUCGCUGC